UGAGCAAGAUGAAGCUUGGUGGACAAAACAAAAAACCUCAGAAAUUGAACUGUCAGGCGGACGGGCUAGAGUGAGACUUCAGGAUGUGCACACAAAUCGCCUGGGGCUUUGCUCUCACGCAGGGUCUGAUUCAGGAGGUCGGGAACCUGAGACCCCAGAUGGUGGACUGCUAACAAGCUCCCAGGUGAUGGGAUGCUACUGGUCCAGGGCCCACAGCUAAAGCAGCACAAGGGCUAGAUGAUGUCAAGGAUAGAUUCCAUUGCUCUUGAACACUCGGUGAUGUCGUUGGGAUCCUUAAACCUCAUCAGACCAGCCUCCACUGGACUCUUCCCCCUCCUGACCUGCAUCCUUCUUGCCUCUGUCCCUAUGUCACACUGACAUCUUGAACUUCCUUCGACUUUAGGGAAACUAGAGGCCUGUGUGUUAAUUUUGGACCCUUGACUUUGCUGGCUAUUGCAAAUCCUGAUAUAAGAGCAUCCUGGAUUUUCCUAGGAUGAGGCUAGGGGAGGUGUCAUAGGAUGCAAAGAGGCCGUGAGAAGAGCUGAAGGCACUCAGUGAGAAACAUGAAGGUCUCUGCAUAGGAAAUGAUGGGCACAAUCUCAAAUAGGCUUUCAAUCUCUCCCGAAAAGGUCCCCGCCCUGUGGGUUGCUCUGGUGAUCUAAGGCAGAAAUGGAAUCAUUCAGCUAUUUGAUAGAUACUCUUUGUCUAUCAUAUACCAGGCAAUAUUCUAGACUGGGGCUGUAACCAUGAGCAAGACAAAAUUACCUGCUCUAAUGGAGCUGCCUUCCAGGGAGAAAAAGAGAUAAGAAAUCAGUAAACAAACAAACAUACCAUGUAAAGUCAGGAAGCAAUAACGGCUGUGAAGAGAAGAAUUUAUCAAGUUCAGGGGACAGAGCUUGCUGGGGGAGGAGAGGGGGCUAAUUUAGCAAGAGUGGUCAGGACUCGCUGUUGUGGCUCAGCGCGGCAACAAACAUGACUGGUAUCCGUGAGGACAAAGGUUUGAUCCCUGACCUCACUCAGUGGGUUAAGGAUCCAGCAUUGCCAUGAGCUUAGUGUAGGUCACAGAUGUGGCUCAGAUCUGGCAUUGCUGUGAUGUGGUGUAGGCCGGUGGCUACAGCUCCGAUUCGACCCUUAUCCUGGGACAUUCCAUGUGCCACACAUAUGGCCAAAAAAAAAAAAGUAGUCAGAAAAACUGUCUCUGGGGAGUGACAUUUGAACAGAGACAUGGAUCAUAGAAAGGAGGGAGCCAUGCGCAUUGCUGGGGGAAGAGCGUUCCACGCAGAGGGAGAAGCUAGUGCUGGGGACCUCAGGUGGGAAUAAACUAGGAGCAACCAAGAUCAGCGGAAGGCCACUGUAGUUGGAGAGACCUUCAUAAGGGCAGGACCGGCUGGAGGCAAAGUCGGUAAGGGAGGCGGGCUGCUCGGAGCCUGGAAGGCUUUGGGAAAGUUGAGAUCUGUUCUAAGUGUGAUGGGAGUUCACAGGAAGAUUAUGAGCAGGAGACUCAUCCUCUUGGAUGUGUGCUUUUUAUGAAAUUCCAAGGUGCUGGAAAUCUGAAGUCAGACAGAGCCUAUGUUUAUAAAAAUCAUUUUACUGGAACCCAGCCACAUUCAUUAAUUUACAUAGAGCCACUGGCUGCUUUUGCAAAGAUGCAGUGGAGAAGCUGUCUCAGACCUCCCGGGCUGUCUUCUGCCAGGGUAUCAGAGGGACCUGUCUACAAUGUGAAUCUGACGAUGCCAAGCCUGCCUCCCGUCAUCUGCAGGUCAAGUUCAUGGUCCUUUUCAUGGCCUCCAAAUCUUUCGUGAUGUGGCUCCAGCCUCACUGUCUACUUUCCACGUUGUAAUCUGUGACUUGGGCAUGUUGAUCCUGUGCCAUUUUCCUUCUGUUUCUGUCUGAUGGUUCCCUCUAUGGCAGAAAGGCUCUCUUGCCCUAACCCCUUCCCUCAUUUGUUUGUCUCCGAUUUAUCCUUUAAGGCUCCACUUGGGUGUCUUUUCCCCAGAGGGCCCUCCCUGACCUGUCUAUGCAACCCCGUCCCCACUGGGAUACGCAGGUACCCCUCCUCAGAGUUCCUUUAACGCUCUCUGGAUCUAUUUACAUUGCUAGCUGAGUGUCCGUUCUUCUGUCUCUAUCCAUUAGAGUGAAAUCAACUCAAACUUCCUUAAGUAAUGAAGAAAUAGAAUGUAGACUCUUGCUGCUGGGAAGGCAGAGAUUGGUUGGACUUCAGGCUUGGCUUGAUCAGGAUGCUUUUGCUCAGUUUCUCUGUGAUUCAUUUUGACUUGUCCUUCCUCUGGGGGCUGGCACCAUCUCCACGCUGGACAUGUGACAGUUGUAAUGGUUUCAUUAUAUCCCAGGGCCAGAAAGAGACAGCAAAAUUUCCUUCUUGAUCUCAGUGACCUCUUUGAGCUCAGCUCUUUGCUUCUGAGUCAGUCUUGCUAGAUGGGAAGGCCAUGGGCUGAUCAGCUCAGGCCUGGGUUCCUGCAGUAACCAGUUCUUGGCAAGGUGAAGGGGGUUCUCAGGAGCCUUGUGCCCAGUCCUCAAGCCAGGAAUGGGGUCAGCUUGUCCCAGGGCCUGUAGGCAGCCCAAGACAGGUAGCUGAGCAAUAGCAGGUGUCUGUGAAGAAGAAAGAAGGACUAGAUGCCGAGGAAGCCAUCAACAGUGUCUUAUGCUGUACUUGAAUCCACUGUUAGAGGAAUCUCCUUGAAGGCUAUGAUGCUGCCUCUUUCAUCUUCACACUCCAGACAACCCAGGCCAUUGGCUAACAUAGAGUAGACAUGCAGGAAAAAUGUGUUGAGUGACGGAAUUGUAAUAACAUUAUAUAUAACCUAGAAAGAAGACAACGUCAGAGAAAAACCGCACUUGAGCCAAAUGCAGGAAAUCAACGUAAAAUUCACAGCACUUUUUUCCCUACCUACCUGGCCAAGGUCGCUCUAUGUUAUUCCAGAUGACUUAUGUCCUCUCAAUGAUAGAAAUACUAUUAUCAAUGAUUAAAAUUGAGUAGACGCCUCAUGGACAAAGAUUCAAAGGACAAUGAGCAUCACGGAGAAUGCAGACUGAUGGGCAGCCAGGGAAAAGCAUACUGAGCCAUGGUCCCCACCUUCUGCUGGUGGCUGCUGAGGGCAACCGCUCCAAUUAAGUAACAGAAGGCAGAGAUUCACUGAGUUCAGAUAAUACCCAGAUGUUCCGAAGCUGUUGAAUGAAUGAUUCCUUGGAACUUAACCAUUGUAUUCAAAGUCCCUCAGGGGACACAAACACUUAGACUUAACUAAGGUUUCUUUUGGCACUUGGCACCUCGCUCUGAGUGGGCAGGGUGGUGGCAGGAAAUCUGUGCUGAUCUCUACUAGCCAGCAGCCUGUUGGUAUGGGCAACUUUGGUAACAAGGGAUGGGAACCCAACUAGAACCAGCCCAGCCAGAGAUUUCCAAGUUGCUCUCAGAGUCAACGGAAGAGCUGAAAUCCAAGCCUUGGGAAAGAAGGGCAGAUAUAGGCACAGACAGAUCUGAGCUCCCCCAAGAUUCACUUAUUCUUCCUCUCGCUCUUCCCUCUCUCUGAUUUUGGGCCUCGCUCUUCCCCUUGUUUUCUAUACCAGACUGGCUUCAAUGCAUCCACAAUUCCUUGCUUUUCUUUUUCUCAGUCUGGCCUCUGGAGAAACAAAAACUCUCAGGAAAUCUUCCGUUAGGACCACACCUGGACGAUAUCCACAGAGUCUGGACCCGUUGGUGGCCAUGGACCAUCAUCCAAUUAUUGGGCCAGCCUGGGUGAACGAUCUACCCUCAGACCAAUUACUGAGGCCGGUGGGCUGGGUUCAUGCACCUGCUUUGCACCUGUUGUGGAGGCCUUAGGAGGAGGUGAGCGCAGACCCUGGGGCUUCUUUUCAGCUGCACAGUCUUGGGUACGUUAUUUAACCCCUCUUGCCCAAUCUGUCACUUAUCUGAAAAUGGAGAUGAGAAUAAUAUGGACGUUGUGAUGUCCCUGUCUAUAUCUUUAUAUCUAUACAUAGCUUUUCUACAUGUAAGGACUAAACACUGUGUGUGUAUAAUGUCU
Molecule: long non-coding RNA, 4037 nt
Filed under: Sus scrofa (pig)
Lineage: Eukaryota; Metazoa; Chordata; Mammalia; Artiodactyla; Suidae
Description: lncRNA (ENSSSCG00030051913.1)
Source: RNAcentral